GACGAACGCUGGCGGCGUGCCUAAUACAUGCAAGUCGAACGAAGCUGUUUUAACUGGUGCUUGCACCGACUUAAACAACUGAGUGGCGAACGGGUGAGUAACACGUGGGUAACCUGCCCCAAAGCGGGGGAUAACAUUUGGAAACAGAUGCUAAUACCGCAUAACCACAGAAACCACAUGGUUUCUGUGUCAAAGAUGGUUUCGGCUAUCACUUUGGGAUGGACCCGCGGCGUAUUAGCUAGUUGGUAAGGUAAUGGCUUACCAAGGCAAUGAUACGUAGCCGAACUGAGAGGUUGAUCGGCCACAUUGGGACUGAGACACGGCCCAAACGCCUACGGGAGGCAGCAGGAGGGAAUCUUCCACAAUGGACGAAAGUCUGAUGGAGCAACGCCGCGUGAGUGAAGAAGGUUUUCGGAUCGUAAAACUCUGUUGUCAGAGAAGAACGUGUGCGAGAGUAACUGUUCGUGCAGUGACGGUAUCUGGCCAGAAAGCCACGGCUAACUACGUGCCAGCAGCCGCCGUAA
RNAcentral lists this ribosomal RNA (524 nucleotides) under uncultured bacterium. RNAcentral's name for it is "partial 16S ribosomal RNA". It matches the Rfam family "Bacterial small subunit ribosomal RNA", at positions 28 to 523 of the family's 1533-position model. The record is from RNAcentral.